UACGUAGGGUGCAAGCGUUGUCCGGAAUUAUUGGGCGUAAAGAGCUCGUAGGCGGUCUGUUGCGUCGGCUGUGAAAACCCGGGGCUCAACUCCGGGCCUGCAGCCGAUACGGGCAGACUAGAGUUCGGCAGGGGAGACUGGAAUUCCUGGUGUAGCGGUGAAAUGCGCAGAUAUCAGGAGGAACACCGGUGGCGAAGGCGGGUCUCUGGGCCGAUACUGACGCUGAGGAGCGAAAGCGUGGGGGGAGCGAACAGG
RNAcentral lists this ribosomal RNA (255 nucleotides) under uncultured bacterium. Its description in RNAcentral is "partial 16S ribosomal RNA". It matches the Rfam family "Bacterial small subunit ribosomal RNA", at positions 524 to 776 of the family's 1533-position model. The record is from RNAcentral.